This 254-nucleotide ribosomal RNA is filed under the name uncultured bacterium. Its description in RNAcentral is "partial 16S ribosomal RNA". It matches the Rfam family "Bacterial small subunit ribosomal RNA", at positions 524 to 776 of the family's 1533-position model. The record is from RNAcentral.
UACGUAGGGGGGCAAGCGUUGUCCGGAGUUACUGGGCGUAAAGCGCACGCAGGCGGUCUCUUAAGUUUGGAGUGACAGUUGGUGGCUUAACUGCCAAAGUGCUUCGAAAACUGAGAGACUUGAGGGCUUCAGAGGGACACGGAAUUCCGGGUGGAGUGGUGAAAUGCGUAGAGAUCCGGAGGAACACCAAAGGCGAAGGCAGUGUCCUGGGGAGUACCUGACGCUCAGGUGCGAAAGCCAGGGGAGCGAACGGG